This is a long non-coding RNA of Triticum aestivum (bread wheat), 2010 nucleotides long. RefSeq lists it as uncharacterized. Lineage: Eukaryota; Viridiplantae; Streptophyta; Magnoliopsida; Poales; Poaceae. The record is from RefSeq and is a predicted model, not a curated record. The transcript is spliced from 2 exons.
CCUCCCCUUGUAGCCGUCAUGGCCUAUCCUCACCUCGCCGCCAUAGACCAGCCCUCACCUCCCCUUCUCCCCACCGCCUAGCUUCAGAUCGACUCCUUCCAUCACCUCUCCACAGCAGCUAUGGCCGGGGAGGCUGGAGAUGUUUUGCUCCUCUCACCCCUUUCUAUCAUCCCGUAAUGUGCAAGUGCACCCAGAUCUCUCGCCAGGUCUGGCGGCGUCGUGCAACACUCAUGGGCUACGACUCUAGUACGCUAGCAGUGGUGGCAGGCAAUGGCGAGUGUACUGAUGGUCGAGCGGCAGCGCGGGCUAAUGGGUUCGGCUCUGUUCUCGUUCGCCAUUUACUAUACUGUACUACUCAACAAGUUAAGGUGUCCUGCAAUCCCCAUCUAUUCUAGUUUAAUUGAUUUCUGAUGUCAAAUCUUAGAUAGCUAAGAUGUCAAAAUUGGUACGAUGCACACAACUAUGCUGGAAAUACUACCACAAGGGAUAGUAUUAGUAGCUUCGCUUAAUUUGUACACCUAGUUAUUCAGGAACAAAGUAAGAUGAGGAAAUACGUGCAUAUUUAGAUGAUGCAAAACAUUGCCAUGGUUUGUGCCACACUAGACUAUUUGAAUCUUGGUAAGGUACCAGAAAUAUCUUCCCUGAUAACAGAGGCCUAAUGAACACAGGGUGGAUUCAGACUGAUGAGGCUGUCCAAGAUUGCUCGGAACAAGGCGAAAUUGGUGAAGCACGAAGCCCUUGUCGAUGGCUUCAGUAAAUCCAGUUUCAAAAACAAUAAAAUGAGAAACAUUCAGAUAAGGCUUCGUUGACAAACAUAUUAUACUCUUCUGCAAUUCAGGUUACUACAUUGUGCUUGUUUGUUUGAGCUGUACAGAAAUGAAAUGUUCGACUCGAGCAUCAACACAUAAGCCUUGCUUCAUCCUUUAUGGGUCAGUCUAACUUUCUGUUUCGUAUGCAGUUACUAUGCAUACGUAGGCUCUCGUUUGUGUUGUCCUUGUAAAGUGUUUGAUGAAUUCCUUGCCUGUCAAAAUCAUAUCCUUGGAACCUGAAGGUAGCUUGUGCCCCAUAUCCCUCUUGGCUCUCCAAAUUCAUGGCAGCCACAUCUGUUAUCUUCGAGAAAUCUAGUAUGAUUUCAUCUGCCAUUUUAUUGGCUUUUCCGUUAAUCGGCAGCUGUGUAAAGGUACAACUACAUGUUCAACAAUUAGGAAAAUAGUACCACAAAUAACUGAAUGUUGGGAUGGGUAAAUAGAUUUUGUCUUGCGUGAAUACAUAGAAAUACAUGGAAGUAUAUUUAGAGGUCAAAAAGUACUAGUCUGUAGCUUUGUGGAAAAAGAUGCAAAAUAGUGAACCAGUUUAUUUUUACUGUUUGUGUUUAUAUUUAAGUUUCUAUUGCCCAAUGCAUGGUUUGGAAAGGAAUGAAUUACUGGUGUAACACGAGUAAUUGUCGACGUACACUGAGUUCCUAAGUCCCACAGUAAGACGUGAUUAGCUAUAUAUCUCCAUGCAUAGAUGUUUCUAGAACAAUUACUUUUGUUCUCUGUAGCUUCCCUAAAAAAGUUUAUUCCUUGUAGCUCAAUCAAAUUUCAUUUACAUUGCAUUGUUUUUCAUCUCUUUUACAACUAGUCUUGUCAUUUCUUAGGGAGUGUCAAGCAAUAUUAGAAGCGGUCCGAGCUAUUAAAAUGAUCAUGACACUGAUGAUGAGGAGGAUGACAUCUAUGGCAACGAGGGAGAUGAUAGCUGUGGCGAUAAGCAUUAUGAUAAAGUAAAGAUCUGAAGUUUGUUGAAAAUUUAGCUUAUGCAAAUUGUCUGGACCUCUCUAAUACUAUUUUUUGAUUCGACACUUCCUAGAUGGAUUGUUAUUGUAAAUGUAAUUCAUAUGCAACUCAUUAGGUUUGUAAUACCUAGAUUAUGCUAAAUGUUCUUUUGGUCAUGUGCGGUUGUGUAAUUAUGAGAUGUAUCGGAAAUGCCAAUAUUGUGAAAUAUUGUGUAAUAUAUUGCACUUCCCUCUCA